Molecule: non-coding RNA, 74 nt
Organism: Potamilus streckersoni
Lineage: Eukaryota; Metazoa; Mollusca; Bivalvia; Unionida; Unionidae
Source: the annotation of a GenBank genome assembly
UUUAUGGUGGCCCAGGGGUUAAAGCGUUGGCCUUGGAAGCGGGAGGUCUUGGAUUCGAUUUUCGGUCGAGAAAU